Molecule: long non-coding RNA, 2025 nt
Filed under: Rattus norvegicus (Norway rat)
Lineage: Eukaryota; Metazoa; Chordata; Mammalia; Rodentia; Muridae
Description: long non-coding RNA NONRATT027319
Source: RNAcentral
GACCCACCGCUGUUUCAUGCCCAAGAUAACUCAGAAGGCAACCUCAGGAGCUCUGGACCCAAACCUUGCAAAGUCAGUAGUUGUCACUGUGAUGCAAAGUCCUCUCCCUGCAAGGUGGGACUAGGCUGCCUCCUCACAGCCCUUCCCUCGGAGAGAAAGCCUCUUGAGACCAGGCUGCGGAGCUCUGGAGAUUCAGCACGGGACUACAGAACUGCUGCUCUCAGUUCAGCCACUUCUGUCCUGGCACGUGGGAGACAUGAUUCUGUCACAUCAAGUCCUGUCUGUUUGCUGGAAAGGAAUAAUACAAGUUUGUAUAAUCAUUGCCUUGGUGGCAACAGGAGCUACAGUGACUUCGAAGGAUGUCGUCCUCUUUGCCGCUUUCCCAGUUCGACUGUCCCGACAAAUGACCUGCAUUGUGGUGCCACUGUGGCAUUAGUGCUAGCAUUUCACACAGUCAGAAGCUCAGCCUGCAUAGAGUCCUGUGAGGCAUGAAGGGUAAAUGCAGUUUCACUCAGCCUGGUUGACCUCAGCCCCACAGCUAACACAACACAGUCAGGCCGCGGGUCCCUCACUGCGGCAUUCUCAACCCCUGGGUUGCCACCCAUUUGCAGCCCCUAUAUCCAAAACCAUUUACAUUAUGAUUUAUAACAGUAGCAGCAUUAGUUGUGAAAUAGCAAAGAUUUUAUGGUUGGGGGUUACCACCACAAAGGGUCGCAGCAGCAGGAAGUUUGAGAACCCUGCACCACAGGGUCCAUCUCACACCUGCCUCUGCCACCAUUGUUCCCAAAACUGACUGGAAACUGAGCUUUUGAAACUGUCUCGAUGUGGUGCUUGAGGGCCAGAUUGACAGUAGCAGAAUUACUGGAAUGGAUGCUCUAGUGACAUCUGCAUUUGUACAGGGGCGGGGUUGGGCGGGGCGGGGCGGGGUUGGGCAGGGUGUGUUCAGAGUCACUGUACUUACAGUCCAGCCCAGAGCUGCUGGCAGUCAUGCCCAGGGGUCUGCCUUGUGCGUGCUAGCAAGGCUGUGCUGCAGAUCUCACUUCCUGCCCCAGAGUUCUGCUGUAGUAUGUUCGUUUACAGUGAUAGACGGUUCCAUUGUGUACGACGGUCUCUGACUCUAUGCCUACAGUAUUUACAGUGUCAAAGAUUAAAAGUGUCGCCUGUCCAUUUGGCCGUCACUGGGAAACAGUGCUUCCAACAGUGCUCUGUACGUAACCUGUAAGCAUUUCAACCCCGCCACGCCAGUGUGGCCUGGCGUUACGUUGGCGAGCCAUCUUGUACGUUCUCACUUGGUCCUCGUUCUUCUGCGACCUGAAAUAGUUGUUCCCUCUGCUCUGGGAGCUGGCGGCUGGGGAACAGCAGCAGCUUGUCUUGUAAGGUCCUGCCAGGAGGGCAACAAGUGACUAUAAGGAGGCUGUUAGUGAGCCUCUGACAGCUUGUGAACUUGCUGUAAUUAAAACAAAAACUUCCCUGUUUCCUGUUUGGUUUUCUAUUUUUUUUUUUUAAUGCUGAAAACACUUUAUAAUAGGGUCUCAACCACUGAAAUACCAACCCUCCAGUUGCCAUCAGGGGUGACUCACUUUAAGGCCCCUGCAUCAGUGUUUGGCUCCUAAAGGGACAGAGAAGGAAAUGGAUCCAGUGCCCUGGAAGGUCUGGAUUAGCUGUAGACAGCAAGAGAGGCCCAGAGAGCUUCAAAUGUACGGUGGCCACCAAGCCCCACAACUGGGCUUUGGGGCUUGGAGCCCACAUGGUGGGAGGAGAGAACCAGCUCCCACAGUUAUCUCUGACCUCCACAUGUGCGCCAUGGCUUUUGCAUGCCUGCCCCACACAGCAAAUACAUUAAUUUUUUUCAGUCUAAAUGAAAAUUUAAUUUACCCACUUAAAUAUUUUGUUGUCUUUAAGGCCAUGCCAUUUUGCAAGAUGAAGUUUGUCCUAACUUCCUCUAUCUCAACUGAGUAUUUGCCUUUCUGUAGUCUUGUCUCACUGUCCGGGAAGGAUUUUACAAUAAUAAAAAUUUAAAGAGAG